RNAcentral lists this unclassified non-coding RNA (621 nucleotides) under Hevea brasiliensis (rubber tree). The record is from RNAcentral. Lineage: Eukaryota; Viridiplantae; Streptophyta; Magnoliopsida; Malpighiales; Euphorbiaceae.
CCUUGUAUGUGCUCUCACUUAGAAAGGCAGAAGCAGACAUGGCAAGAUAAUUGGAAUGAUCUUAAAAGCAUGUGGCCGUAAUUCAGGAGCCUAUUUUCUUCUUAUGGACGCCUGUGGGAAGACAUACCUUUAAUGUCUAAACCUAUUAUUACCAGCUAAUUCAAGCUCUAAGUUCCUCACGAGUCACUUCCUGCCAAGGCCCGUGUUUGAAGCUACUUGGAAGUGCAUAAUUCUUUCAAUCAGAUAUUUAUGAAAUAAAAUAUGGGCGAUUAAAAGAUCAAAGUUUUGAUUGUAGCCAGAGAUCAUGACGGGAAGUUUUGAUGUCUGGGGCUGGAGUUAUUAACUGUUCCAUUCCUGCAGAUGAAGCGGAAGUUGAGGCUGUAAUUUUUGGUGUUCAUCGUGCUCUUGAUGCAGGCUUCGUAGACAUCCAGCUGGAGUCAGAUUGGUUGAUCUUGGUUAACCAUGUUCAGAACAAAACAGUCCCUAAUUUAUAUUUUGGAACAAGAAUUCAGCAGCCUUUGUUGGUUUCUUAGCUCUGCAGAUCCUUUUGUGGCUCCCACGUUUUCAGAGAGGCCAAUGAGUUGGCCCAUUCAUUAGCUAAAUUGGCUGUCUAUUGUUUCA